GAUGAACGCUGGCGGCGUGCCUAAUACAUGCAAGUCGAGCGAACAGAUGAGGAGCUUGCUCAUCUGACGUUAGCGGCGGACGGGUGAGUAACACGUGGAUAACCUACCUAUAAGACUGGGAUAACUUCGGGAAACCGGAGCUAAUACCGGAUAAUAUAUUGAACCGCAUGGUUCAAUAGUGAAAGACGGUUUUGCUGUCACUUAUAGAUGGAUCCGCGCCGCAUUAGCUAGUUGGUAAGGUAACGGCUUACCAAGGCAACGAUGCGUAGCCGACCUGAGAGGGUGAUCGGCCACACUGGAACUGAGACACGGUCCAGACUCCUACGGGAGGCAGCAGUAGGGAAUCUUCCGCAAUGGGCGAAAGCCUGACGGAGCAACGCCGCGUGAGUGAUGAAGGUCUUCGGAUCGUAAAACUCUGUUAUUAGGGAAGAACAAAUGUGUAAGUAACUAUGCCCGUCUUGACGGUACCUAAUCAGAAAGCCACGGCUAACUACGUG
This 497-nucleotide ribosomal RNA is filed under the name uncultured bacterium. Its description in RNAcentral is "partial 16S ribosomal RNA". It matches the Rfam family "Bacterial small subunit ribosomal RNA", at positions 28 to 507 of the family's 1533-position model. The record is from RNAcentral.